Long non-coding RNA from Homo sapiens (human), 669 nucleotides. Ensembl annotates it as long intergenic non-protein coding RNA 2053. The record is from Ensembl. Lineage: Eukaryota; Metazoa; Chordata; Mammalia; Primates; Hominidae.
AGAUUACCCAGGCCUUGCACCUGGAUCAAUGGGCUGCCCUAAUGAAGGAUAUCAAAAAUGAAGGGGCAGCUAAAGAAAAAUAAAAGACACCUCAGAAAGUAGCCUGCCUCUUUGACAAGGGACAUGCCUUCAGAGGAACAUAACAGAAACCUCUGAGAAUUGUCAACAAUAAAAAGACUGAGCAACAAGGGAAACUGGUAGGAAGCCAAAGGUUUUAAGAGGUGAGAGUGGAGAAAUGCUGUGCUUUUAUUGAUCCUCUCCAAAGGAACACCUUUAAAAAAGAUUCCUGCAUUCUCUCAGUGGGAAAGGCUACACCUGAACUCAGAUCCUCAGACUUGUGACUCUUUUCCCCAAGCAGAAGGGUGUGAAACUUCCCACAGGCUUCAAGUUCUCCAGAUGCUGGGCAGCUGAAUUUCACAGAAAUCUGAAAAUAGCUGCCAUCUAUACUCAGACUGUUUGGCACCCAAAUAGUUUGUCCCUCUAUGACCCCACUCCCAACUCAUAAGAUUGCUUUCAGGGGCCUCGUCUCUUGAAUAUAACCCUCCUACAUAUGGCCCUUUGCCCCAGAUUGCUUUUCUGUAAGAUGAUGAGAGGACAGGGGUCUGUACUCCCCUUCAUACUGGUUCCCACAUCCUAAGUUUUUUAAUAAAGCCUUUUCCUUAAUGUGUA